UGAGGAAUAUUGGACAAUGGGCGCAAGCCUGAUCCAGCCAUGCCGCGUGCAGGAUGAAGCAUCUAUGGUGUGUAAACUGCUUUUAUACGGGAAGAAACCCUGGCUCGUGAGCCAGAUUGACGGUACCGUAGGAAUAAGGAUCGGCUAACUCCGUGCCAGCAGCCGCGGUAAUACGGAGGAUCCAAGCGUUAUCCGGAAUCAUUGGGUUUAAAGGGUCCGUAGGCGGUUUUAUAAGUCAGUGGUGAAAUCCGGCAGCUCAACUGUCGAACUGCCAUUGAUACUGUAGAACUUGAAUUAUUGUGAAGUAACUAGAAUAUGUAGUGUAGCGGUGAAAUGCUUAGAUAUUACAUGGAAUACCAAUUGCGAAGGCAGGUUACUAACAAUACAUUGACGCUGAUGGACGAAAGCGUGGGGAGCGAACA
This 422-nucleotide ribosomal RNA is filed under the name uncultured Flavobacterium sp. Its description in RNAcentral is "bacterial SSU rRNA". It matches the Rfam family "Bacterial small subunit ribosomal RNA", at positions 355 to 774 of the family's 1533-position model. Lineage: Bacteria; Pseudomonadati; Bacteroidota; Flavobacteriia; Flavobacteriales; Flavobacteriaceae. The record is from RNAcentral.